CUCUCGAGGUGGAGCGGAGAUGCUCCGGGGAUGACGUCUUGGCGGAAGGGUAGGCUCCUUGCGCUCUGCAGGCAGAAGUCGAACCACUGGUGAACCAGUGGAGACGGGCCUCUGGCUCGGCUCCCGAUUUGGUCAGUCUGAAAUCUCGUCGCGCAUGGUAUUGCCUACAGGGUAUAGAAAUCAAUAAGAUGUAUAGUUCAUAAUGGCAAUGCAUUAUACAUGAGAAAGUCAUAGCAUACCCAUAGAUCAGCCCAUAGGCUGCUGCCUGACUUGGGAACAACCACCGCGACAUUAGACAUUCGCUUUGCAGCAGGGAUCACGUCGCUGCUCCAACCCACUGCGACCCAUACAUCUCCAACACUAAACGACUUCAGAUAGUUCAUGCUGUCGAAUAGUUGGACCUACCGAAGACAACCAAUAUCAAAUCCAGUGCAACAGAUAAUAACAGAGUUUUGGAUGCCCCAUAUAUAAAUCAUAUAUGCUCAAGGAGACAAAAAGGAGGUGCCGUAUCUGGUGCAAACCUGCUUCUGUAGUUGCGUAAAGCUGUUUAGGACUGCUGCUCUACCACCAUUGACGUCCAUUUCCAUAUCAACUGUGUUAUAUGAUGAGCCCAGAUGCUUCAGAACAGCACCAAUCACCUCUCUAGGAGAAUCGACCAUUGAAAUCCUCCCGGCAAGCUCGGGCCUCCACAAAUCCUCCCAAUCCUACAGAUAAAAGAUCAAUAUGCUUAACACCUAAAGAUAGUCAGCAUCAAUAAGCACGAGCAAAAAAGUAUGUCUCGGUAGUUAGUACUAUCCUUCACAUUUCCAUUUCCAUAGAAAAAGGGAAGCCUACAAACAUGCCCUUUGUAGGUUUAGGCUAAUAUUGCAUACUUUUCUCAAAGAAAAAUGUUCACCUGUAUUGGCUUCAAAUUAUGUCUUUUGAACUUGUCUUUCUUGUAAGCAAUGACCAUGGUGCCCCAUCUGUAUGGAACUCCCCAUAUUGUACCAUUAGGAUCUGCUUCUCCGUUCUGGUUCCUGCACAAAUGGACCUGAUAGACUAUAAUGAAAAUGCAAAUUACAUAGAGGAGUAUUGUUACAGCCAAUUUAUAAAUGUUAUGCUACAAAAAUGAAUCUUAUGAGAUCAGAGAAUUUGUGUGGUGACUGGUGACUGACAAAACCCAAGACUAGAAAAUGUGCAUGGCUGAAGCAACUAAUGAGUGAUACACUACUUAAUUAAUCCUUCGAUCUCCAUUAUAAGUUUCUUUUGCAUUCUCUUUCUAUAUAGAAACAAUUCAACGACCUCUAGGCAUUUCGCUAUUUUUUGUUUCUUUUAUUUCAUGCCCCUUGCAAAAGAAACCCAGUUUGCACCAAGAAAUGAACCAUCUUUUCCAAUCCCUCCCUAUGCCUAUGUCUUUGUGUGGUCCUACUCCUAGCUUCCUCCCAAUGUUUGCCAACCAACUCAACAGCUAACUCCAUUUAGCUAUGCGCCUAUGCCUACUGAACAUAAGAGCUAAAUGUCAGGCAAUGAUCGAAGAUUCUAAUUCUUGAGAACAAUUCUAGAAUGACUUAUAAGCAGAACUGAUGGAACAUUGAAUAUUAAUAAUACGCGAGAUCCAGUAGAAUAGAAACCUAUACAGGUCAUGGAUUUCUCAUGAUAGACUGUUUCUUACAAGCUUAUAUGAUCUAAUAAAAUUCAACAAGUAAAUUAUUUACCAAGCAAUGCAAGAUCACAAACUUGUUCCAAAGUAUACAAAUGAUAAGCAUUGUCAAGGAAAAGUAAAGGUUCCACUUCUCACCUUCCAUCUGUCACUCAGGCUAUGAAACCAAUCCUGUUCUUCAGCAUUCUUGAUAGGCUCUAGCAAUCCCUUGCGGAUGGCAUAGCCGAGCCAAGAGUCCCCAAGGGAAACAACAUCAGCUGCCAUUGCAGACUUCGGCUGAACUUGACCCUUGUCCAUACAUUGUGACAUCUCAGAGAAGAUCCCAUCAAGAUUAGCACGGAGCUCAGGACUGAAUUUGAGUCUCUUCCCCUGAGCUUCGACGAAAUCCUACACACACAAAAAAAAAUUCUCACUAAAUUGCACACCACCCACCAUUCAUUUUUCUUUUAAAGAAUUCCAGGGAACAGCGACCCUGGCCAUACAUCUUCCAUGCUCACACAAAUUUAUGCAAUCAUGCUUUGUUUAUGGUGGAUGAAGGCGACCAGACCUUAAUCCAAGAUGGAGGGAAGGAGCCGCGGAGCGCCACGACCCGGAGGGGCACCGAGAGCGCGUAGGUCUUGGUCUUCCACUUCUGCAGCGCAGCCUCCCACUCCUGGUCCUCCUCCUCCUCCUCCUGCGUCGCCUCAACCACCGCAGCGGCCCCCGGAGGGGGCGGGAGCGCGAGGGCUCGGGCACGGUUGGGGAAGAGAAAAAGGAGCGAGCACACGGUCAGCUGGAGCACCAGCGCCGCCACCGUGUUAGGCACCGGCACCAGGCCAGGCGCGUCGGCUUGGCUGCCCGAUGGACGCCUCGAAGGCACUGCGGCGAGCUGCUUCGGCUUGCGACGCUGUACGCGGAGUCGGAGGCGGGAGGUGGGCAGGUAGUGGGUAGGGUAGUUGGGGAUGAGACCGCGUAGGCAAGGGUGGUGGAACUGGGCGAUGAGGAGAUGGAGCGGCUGUCCCUCCAUUGCCGCUGCCCGGUUCCCUUUCGGAAGCUCCGUCCGGGCAGUGGCCUUCUGCUGCCGAUGGGCGAUGGGUGAUGGGCUUAUCCAGUUGUUCUCGCAUAAGGCCGGUUGCUAGCUGAAAGCAUUUGCUGAAACCUGUGAAUAAAUGUGGUUGAUCUCAAGAUCUAUCUGACUGUACAUGAGCUUAUCUUCGAACACAUACAUUACAUGAACUUCUUUUCUUUGAUGCCACAUGAACUUAUUUUUUUGAACAAGCAGAUUACAUGAACUUCUGUCCAUUACUGAUAGAGAGCCAACUGCUAAAGCGUAUUAGCAUUGAUCUGUAUACUUACCUGACAGUAUGAUACUUACAACCACAAUUAAACAUAAAAUUAACUUUUACUCCACCAAAUAACUGGAAAAGAAUGCCUAGGAACCUAAUACAAAUGCUAUAAGAAACAAUUUUCUUUGAACAAACACAUGUUAAUAUAUGUAGCAGCUACAAAGAAUUGCUAAAACAAGGUGACAAAACAAUGUCCACUACUGCAACUAUACCCUGACGAAAUGAAGAGCAAGCUUAUCCGGCUAUAGAUCUUCCUGUAGGAGUUUGUUCAACAGAGCAGUCAGGAGUGCAUCCCUUUUCUCUGCCCGUGUUUCUUCUCUCAUCCUUCUUUGCUCCUCCCGUUCCAUCCACGAGUGUUCCAACAGCAACCUCUCCUGCUCCAGCUUCUGCAUUGUCUGCCGCCAUUGCUGUUCAAAAACAAUCCGCUCCUGGGCGCGUCUCUCCAUCAUCUCCCGCCACCAGACAUCAAUGUGCUGUUGUUGCACAAGGAAAUCCUGCAGCAGUUCAUGUAUGCUUGAAAAUCCUGCUCUUGAUUUCCCAGACAUUCUUUGAUGUUGCUGUUUCUUGUCGUCAGCUUUCCUCUUCCUGCUGGGCAACGGUUUCUCCUCAUCACUUUCUUCACCACCAUUGCCCUCGUCAUCAGACAGCCCAGAUGACCGGUCACCACCAGGUUGCUUCAGUUUCCUUUUGACAGAAGCCCCAGAUUCAGACUCAAGGAGUUGUCGUUGCAUAUCUCUUGCACGGUCUGUGAAGACGGCAUGCAGCUCAUCAAAGAAGGGACACUGCCUACCAUUUUCUGGAUCAGAAGUUUCUUUCCCCUGAUGAAAUGGAAGGAUGCAUAACGUAUGAGCUUGUGCUUACAAUAAACUAAAGAAUGAAAGUACUAACUAUUUGUUGAAAUCACAAAGCAAACAAGGUGGACAGACCACAAGGCAAAGAUGAACCAACUAUGUGUCCAAACAAUAAACAAUCGGCCAGUCUCUGUAAGUAGGAACUGGGUUUUCUUGAGCAUAAAAGAAGAAUACAUUAUAAUGCAAAGCUUGAAAUUGGACCCACCACCCAACCAACCCAACAGCAGAGUUAAUCUGAACCUAACAUGGAACUUCCAAUUUUUCAUUAGCUCCUGAUGAAAAAAAUAUAAUUGAUCUAUUUCCUGACGUUAUCAUUGAGAUUGGGACAAAAUACGAAGUCUUUUAUAACUAUUGCAGCAGAAGACCAAUAUUACAUGACUAUUGUGGUCAGCAGGAACGUCGGCAAUAAUGUACAGCUUUUGCACAUUUUUCUCUCAAUAAACCUAAUCAACGCAUCCAUGCUCUCUCUCGCACACACCUAACAGGUAGUAUCAUAAUUUUACCACCACUCCCUCUUUUUGCCGGUGCAGGACAGAUGUCGCACUCUGAGACAGUUCAAGUGCAAUUUCUCAGACAAACUAACCAAUGUGAAGAAAGCCUCCUUUAGGGUUCACAAUGAAUCCACGCUCUCAAAAAGUGAAAAUCUAACUUUAACUGAACCACCAAUUCUGGACAAUUUGCCACUCAAUUCCCCUCAAACCCUUGAGAUUCCACAUUGACUUUUCAUGCAUCAUAGACUCACAAUCAACAAAGAUAAUGGUAGGUGGAUUCCCCUUUCUAUCACUAGCAAUAAUUCACUGUACUAGAUAAGUUAUCCUAGUUUCUUAGAAAUAUUUGUGCCAUGUUUUCAUUUCAGAACAAAACAAAGUGGAAUACACCUUUUUAAAUGCCAAAACAUACAAAAUAUAGUAACAAAAGCAAGCAUUGCUUCUAUGUGAAAUUUGUGAAGAAAACUUGAAAACAGAAACAACAAUUGGACUAAGAAAGUUUUUAAAAACCCUAAUGUGCUGUAAAUUAAUCAGUACUCUCCCGUUCCAAAUUAUAAGAUAUUUUAGUUUUUCUACAUACUUUGCUUUUACUAUGUAUCUAGACACGGUGUAUACCUAAUUACAUAAUAAGUGCAUAACAAAAGCUAUGUAUUUAGAAAAGUCAAAAUGUAUUAUCAUUUGGAAUGGAGGCGGUAUGUACUAUCCAUAGAUCUUAGCAUUACUAAUUUACUAUCCACCUACUUCAAAAUGUGCAAUUGAAAGCAUUACGUUCCAACAUGUGUGGCACAAUGCAAGGAUAAAUUCUGCAAAAUCAGUUUUCUUUUCUCUACUUAUCAUGAACAUAUAAAGACUAAGAUUUCUGAAUGCCCUUCACUGAUGGAAAUGGUUGCGCAAAUAAUGCAGCGAAGGUGAACAAGGGGAGUUGUGGACACACUCCUAAACAACUCAAAGUGGACCUAUCAAGAUAGAAGACCAAUUUGGGGACGCUGAGCCUAAAGACGAAGUCACGAACCAGCAAUGCAUAUCAUUUUGCCAUCAACACAAGAACAAUACAGCAGAACAUCGUUGUCUGGUGGUCCAGAACAGACCGGCCAAUCUAGCGU
Molecule: long non-coding RNA, 5406 nt
Filed under: Zea mays
Lineage: Eukaryota; Viridiplantae; Streptophyta; Magnoliopsida; Poales; Poaceae
Description: long non-coding RNA (ZMAY_LNC000607)
Source: RNAcentral